RNAcentral lists this unclassified non-coding RNA (300 nucleotides) under uncultured Mortierella. RNAcentral describes it as "sequence contains 5.8S rRNA gene, ITS2". The stretch from base 1 to 71 matches the Rfam family "5.8S ribosomal RNA", at positions 84 to 154 of the family's 154-position model. The record is from RNAcentral. Lineage: Eukaryota; Fungi; Mortierellomycota; Mortierellomycetes; Mortierellales; Mortierellaceae.
GUGAAUCAUCGAAUCUUUGAACGCAUAUUGCGCUCUUUGGUAUUCCGAAGAGCAUGCUUGUUUGAGUAUCAGUAAACACCUCAACCUCUCUUUUUGACAAAAAAAGAGAGGGUGGACUUGAGCUAUCCCAACGACCUUCACCGGUAGGCGGGCGGCUUGAAAUGCAGGUGCAGCUGGACUUUUAUCUGAGCUAAAAGCAUAUUUAUUUAGUCCCGUCAAACGGAUUAUUACUUUUGCUCUAGCUAAUAUAAAGGUCGAAUGUACUAUACGCUGACUGAUGCAGGAUUACCAAGUUUUACC